UAAAUGCUAUAUUUUAUACACCUCAGGAAAAAAAGAGCCCACUGCACAGAACCCCAUUGAAAACCUCAUCAUUAUUCCACCAAAUAUUGAUCUCUGAAAUCUGAGUUAAAGCAUUAGUAUUGUUGUUUCUAAGUGAAUAUGAACU
This is a long non-coding RNA of Xiphophorus hellerii (green swordtail), 145 nucleotides long. RefSeq lists it as uncharacterized. The record is from RefSeq and is a predicted model, not a curated record. NCBI's taxonomy places the organism in Eukaryota, Metazoa, Chordata, Actinopteri, Cyprinodontiformes, Poeciliidae. The transcript has 3 exons.